UGGGGAAUUUUGGACAAUGGGCGCAAGCCUGAUCCAGCAAUGCCGCGUGAGUGAAGAAGGCCUUCGGGUUGUAAAGCUCUUUUGUCAGGGAAGAAACGGUAUCCUCUAAUACAGGGUGCUAAUGACGGUACCUGAAGAAUAAGCACCGGCUAACUACGUGCCAGCAGCCGCGGUAAUACGUAGGGUGCAAGCGUUAAUCGGAAUUACUGGGCGUAAAGCGUGCGCAGGCGGUUAUAUAAGUCAGAUGUGAAAUCCCCGGGCUCAACCUGGGAACUGCAUUUGAGACUGUAUGGCUAGAGUGUGUCAGAGGGGGGUAGAAUUCCACGUGUAGCAGUGAAAUGCGUAGAUAUGUGGAGGAAUACCGAUGGCGAAGGCAGCCCCCUGGGAUAACACUGACGCUCAUGCACGAAAGCGUGGGGAGCAAACAGGAUUAGAUACCCUGGUAGUCCACGCCCUAAACGAUGUCUACUAGUUGUCGGGACUUAAUUGUCUUGGUAACGCAGCUAACGCGUGAAGUAGACCGCCUGGGGAGUACGGUCGCAAGAUUA
Molecule: ribosomal RNA, 548 nt
Filed under: uncultured bacterium
Lineage: Bacteria
Description: bacterial SSU rRNA
Rfam family: Bacterial small subunit ribosomal RNA
Source: RNAcentral